UUCUCAGAGGAGAUCUGAGUGAACUGUGAUAGACUGAGAGGGCUUGCUUGUGGAAAUAAUAGGGAAAAGUAAGAGAUAAAGAAGGAGAAGAACUUGAUAUUGAUAAAGAGGCAUCAAAUUAUUACAUACGUAUAAUGUUCUCUUAUAUACAUGAAAGGGAAGACCUAUUCAUCUAAUGGACCGCACAUCCAUGGGCCAUAGGCCCUAUAACACUCCCCCUUGUGCGGUUCAAUAAUAAAACUUUAUACAUAGUGCUUCACAUAUAGUGCUUUAAAUGUAGUUCUUCAAA
This is a long non-coding RNA of Papaver somniferum (opium poppy), 289 nucleotides long. RefSeq lists it as uncharacterized. The transcript has 2 exons. NCBI's taxonomy places the organism in Eukaryota, Viridiplantae, Streptophyta, Magnoliopsida, Ranunculales, Papaveraceae. The record is from RefSeq and is a predicted model, not a curated record.